RNAcentral lists this ribosomal RNA (305 nucleotides) under uncultured bacterium. RNAcentral describes it as "bacterial SSU rRNA". It matches the Rfam family "Bacterial small subunit ribosomal RNA", at positions 335 to 638 of the family's 1533-position model. The record is from RNAcentral.
GUUCCUACGGGAGGCAGCAGUGAGGAAUAUUGGUCAAUGGGCGCGAGCCUGAACCAGCCAAGUCGCGUGAGGGAAGACGGUCCUAUGGAUUGUAAACCUCUUUUGUCGGGGAGCAAAAGACGCCACGUGUGGCGUUCCGAGAGUACCCGAAGAAAAAGCAUCGGCUAACUCCGUGCCAGCAGCCGCGGUAAUACGGAGGAUGCGAGCGUUAUCCGGAUUUAUUGGGUUUAAAGGGUGCGCAGGCGGAAGAUCAAGUCAGCGGUAAAAAUUCGGGGCUCAACCCCGUCCGGCCGUUGAAACUGGGG